UACAGAGGGGGCAAGCGUUGUUCGGAAUUACUGGGCGUAAAGGGCGCGUAGGCGGCCUUCUAAGUCGAACGUGAAAUCCCCGGGCUCAACCCGGGAACUGCGUCCGAUACUGGAAGGCUUGAAUCCGGGAGAGGGAUGCGGAAUUCCAGGUGUAGCGGUGAAAUGCGUAGAUAUCUGGAGGAACACCGGUGGCGAAGGCGGCAUCCUGGACCAAUACUGACGCUGAGGAGCGAAAGCCAGGGGAGCAAACGAG
Molecule: ribosomal RNA, 253 nt
Filed under: uncultured bacterium
Lineage: Bacteria
Description: partial 16S ribosomal RNA
Rfam family: Bacterial small subunit ribosomal RNA
Source: RNAcentral